UUGACCUCGAAUCAGUAAG
RNAcentral lists this ribosomal RNA (19 nucleotides) under Phyllactinia taurica. RNAcentral describes it as "Leveillula taurica partial 28S ribosomal RNA". The record is from RNAcentral. Lineage: Eukaryota; Fungi; Ascomycota; Leotiomycetes; Helotiales; Erysiphaceae.